UACGGAGGAUGCAAGCGUUAUCCGGAAUGAUUGGGCGUAAAGCGUCCGCAGGUGGCUAUGUAAGUCUGCUGUUAAAGAGUGAGGCUCAACCUCAUAAGAGCAGUGGAAACUACAUGGCUAGAGUGCGUUCGGGGCAGAGGGAAUUCCUGGUGUAGCGGUGAAAUGCGUAGAGAUCAGGAAGAACACCGGUGGCGAAAGCGCUCUGCUAGGCCGCAACUGACACUGAGGGACGAGAGCUAGGGGAGCGAAUGGG
This 253-nucleotide ribosomal RNA is filed under the name uncultured bacterium. Its description in RNAcentral is "partial 16S ribosomal RNA". It matches the Rfam family "Bacterial small subunit ribosomal RNA", at positions 524 to 776 of the family's 1533-position model. The record is from RNAcentral.